CCUACGGGAGGCAGCAGUAGGGAAUCUUCCGCAAUGGACGAAAGUCUGACGGAGCAACGCCGCGUGAACGAUGAAGGCCUUCGGGUCGUAAAGUUCUGUUGUUAGGGAAGAACAAGUGCUAGUUAAAUAAGCUGGCACCUUGACGGUACCUAACCAGAAAGCCACGGCUAACUACGUGCCAGCAGCCGCGGUAAUACGUAGGUGGCAAGCGUUGUCCGGAAUUAUUGGGCGUAAAGCGCGCGCAGGCGGUUUCUUAAGUCUGAUGUGAAAGCCCCCGGCUCAACCGGGGAGGGUCAUUGGAAACUGGGAAACUUGAGUGCAGAAGAGGAAAGUGGAAUUCCAAGUGUAGCGGUGAAAUGCGUAGAGAUUUGGAGGAACACCAGUGGCGAAGGCGACUUUCUGGUCUGUAACUGACGCUGAGGCGCGAAAGCGUGGGGAGCAAACAGGAUUAGAUACCCUGGUAGUCCACGCUGUAAACGAUGAGUGCUAAGUGUUAGAGGGUUUCCGCCCUUUAGUGCUGAAGUUAACGCAUUAAGCACUCCGCCUGGGGAGUCGGUCGCACGACUGAAACUCAAAGGAAUUGACGGCUGAGAGUGCGACGCGACGACGAGGGAGAGG
This 618-nucleotide ribosomal RNA is filed under the name uncultured bacterium. RNAcentral describes it as "bacterial SSU rRNA". It matches the Rfam family "Bacterial small subunit ribosomal RNA", at positions 338 to 946 of the family's 1533-position model. The record is from RNAcentral.